RNAcentral lists this non-coding RNA (22 nucleotides) under Arabidopsis thaliana (thale cress). The record is from RNAcentral. Lineage: Eukaryota; Viridiplantae; Streptophyta; Magnoliopsida; Brassicales; Brassicaceae.
UAGAAUUGCAGUCUUGCCUUCU